RNAcentral lists this non-coding RNA (29 nucleotides) under Rattus norvegicus (Norway rat). The record is from RNAcentral. Lineage: Eukaryota; Metazoa; Chordata; Mammalia; Rodentia; Muridae.
UGAUAAUUCACUGAGAUCAUAGACGGUGU